This 5860-nucleotide long non-coding RNA is filed under the name Homo sapiens (human). RNAcentral's name for it is "HSALNT0196538". The record is from RNAcentral. Lineage: Eukaryota; Metazoa; Chordata; Mammalia; Primates; Hominidae.
GACAAACGAGAGAUACAAGAUCAUGGCAGUUCUCUCUUCUUCCACCGGACAUUGCUGUGUCUGCCUAAAAUGUCGAAUUGGCAACAGCCAUUUUGUAACCACGGGACACAGAGCAAAGUCCGCAGAGCAGAAAGGUGGAAGGAUCCUGGAUUCCUGGUGAGGUUGAAGCACUCAAAAGGUGGGUCUUGGUCCCCUCCGCUUGAACCCGGAUGGACUUUUGUGAUGACCUCAACCACUGGGUGUGGUGGAAGUGGCUGCAUGAGUUCUGAGGCUUGGUCAUUAAAAGUGAUAUGGCCGGGCGCGGUGGCUCACACCUGUAAUCCCAGUACUUUGGGAGGCCGAGGUGGGCAGAUCACUUGAGGUUAGGAGUUCGAGAUCAGCCUGGCCAACAGAGUGAAACUUUGUCUCUAAUAAAAAUACAAAAAUUAGCCAGAUGUGGUGGCACACGCCUGUAAUCCCAGCUACCUCAGAGGCUGAGGCAGGAGAAUCGCUUGGGCUGGGAGGCGGAGGUUGCAGUGAGCCGAGAUUGCACCACUGCUCUCCAGCCUGGGCGACAGAGUGAGUGAGACUCUGUCUCAAAAAAAAAAAAAGUGAUAUGGCCUCUCCUUGGAUCUCUCUUGGGACACACUCAGGGGACCCCCUCAUGAACUGCAGGAAAGACGUCUGGCUUUCCUGAAGCCACCAUGCUGAAAUGAACACACAAGCAGGAGAGCGACGCCCGAGGAGGACCAGCUGUUUGAGUCUGCCCAGCCCAGGUGUCAGACUGUAAAUGAAGACGGCAGCCAGAUGACACUGCCAGCCACCAGCCCCUCUGACUGCACCCUCCAAGAGAUCCAGAGCUCAAACCGCCCUGGGGAGCCACUCCCGAGAUCUUACCCCCAGAAACCAUGAGUGGCCAGUGAUGUUCCAGCAGGUGGCUGGGUCCUGCUGUGAGGACAACAUGGAGCAGAGCCCAGGCUUACCUACAAUGGACAUGCAGUGUGAGUGACAAGAAACCUCUGUGUGCUGAGCUGUUGAAAUCGCCAGGUUGUUUGUUACCACAGUAUAACCUGGCCUAUCCUGACCAUUGCAGGCUCCCUUGCCUACACUUGGUAAGGGAUUGCCUCCAAGAACCACAUCAGCGUGGACCAUGAGCGUAGGCAGAUGAGGUGCAUGCGAACUGCUUAGCCAGCAGCUGCCACAGUGGAAGGUCUAUGUCAUUGCUGCUGCUGCAUGCUCGUUGUGGCUGUGAUUGUCAUCAGCAAAGACCAGCAACAACAAAAGGCCACAGAAGCCCUUACCAUACAUUCUAGAAGGCUUAAGUCUACUCUGGUCAUUUCAACCUUGGGCAGAGAAGGUGGCCUCUUGGAACCUCUCUGAGAUUUCAUUCUCUCACCAGGUGGGUGAGAGGACAGCAAAGAGCCAUGUUACGAAAUUCAAUGAAAGGCUCAUUUCCUACCCCUGGGGAAAGCAGCAAAGCCAGGCUGACACCAAGGAGUUCUAAACAGAGGAGGGCCUGACUUGCUGGCCGGGUGGGCAGAGGAAGACAGGGAGCCCAGUGAUAACGCCUGGCUGGAGGUGGAGCCACGGUUGCCAGGGUACUUGUGCUGUGUAAGGAAUCCCUCAAAACAUUAGGGCGCCCAGCAGCCAUCGUAUUACGCUCACAGAUCCUAUGGCUCAGAAUCACACAAGGCACAGCACAGAUGUCUUGUCUCUAUUCCAGGAUGCCAGGGCCUUCUGGAAGUGCCUGUUUGGCAGUUGGAGCUGGCUGGGGGCUGGGACGUAUCUGGACUGUCUGCCACAACACCAACCCACAGCCCCCUUUCGGGCUACUUGGACUUCCUCACAACAUGGCGGCCCUGGGCAGUCAGAUGCUUACACAGCAUCUCAGGGCUAUAGCACGAAGGCACCUGCAUCACCUUCUGUGACCUAGCCUUGGAGGCCACGCAGCGUCUCUUCUGCCACAUUCUAUUAGUUGUGAGUGAGUCAUGAACGUGCUCAGAUUCAGGAGGGAGAGAACAUAAACCCCACUCUCCAGCAGUGGGAGGUAAAGGUCAUAUGGGAAGAAUAUCUUGUGGGAUGGGAGAAAUUGCAGAGGCUGUCUCUGGAAAAUGCCAUCUGUUACAAGGGACUUAGACCACCCCCGUCCCACCUCUCCUCCAGGCCUGGGUCCUUCCCAUGGCCACCUGCUGACCACUGGGGACUUCUGUGUCAUCCCUCCAGCUCUGAAGAUUCCUCUCAGUGAACUUCUUAGCUAAGCCUGCCAGCCCACAGCCUUCUCUCGUGUCCUGCCUGGCGAGGGGUCUGGCUGGUGUUGAAGGCAGCCCCAGGGCCUCACCUCACACUGCACAAUGACCCACGGUGCCCUGGACAAGAGGCUGCCCUUGGCAUUCCAGGCAAAAAGUCGCUUCCCUGAAAUGUUCUCCAGUGGGAAGCUAAGAGCGUGCCUGCCUCCCAUCCUGACCUCCUGCCCCUUCAGAAGCGUCCCUGCAGCUCCUGCCUGCACCUGGCAGGGAGCACCGCUACAGAGUUUGCUGCUGUACCGGCUCAGAAACGGGAGUUCCCGGCACAGGGCCAUCGGCGAGCCUCCCAGCUGGAGUGUGGGCAGAGGCAGACACUGGGGCUGCAGGGGAGUGGCCCCCAGGGUGUGAAUAGGAGGGCAUCCUGCAGGCUCCAGACAUUGCCAUGCGUGUUGCUGUGAUUAACCCCCAAACCCAGCUCCAUCAUUCAUUCACUCCUUCAUUUGUUCAUCCUAUUGUCCCAGGAGCUGGGCUAUAACAGAAAGGAGACAGGCCACAGACAGACAGGCAAGGCCAUCCCAGGCAGUGAGAGGCGACGUGAACUCUGUGAACUGAGAUGAUGAGGAAGAGAGGAGAAGGGCGGGGCCGCUUUAGAAAGGCUGCUGGGGAUGUCCUGUUUGAGGAGGUGACCCUGUCACUGGAGCCAAGCCAAGAGCUGGGGAAGAGCAUGUCAGGCCCCAAGAACUGCAGGUGCAAAGGCCCUGAGGCAGGACCCUAGCAGGACCCUAGCAGGUGCAGGUGCAGGUGCAAAGGUCCUAAGGCAGGACCUGAGCAGGUGCAGGUGCAAAGGCCCUGAGGCAGGACCUGAGCAGAUGCAGGUGCAAAGGCCCUGAGGCGGGACCUGAGCAGGUACGGGUGCAAAGGCCCUGAGGCAGGACCCGAGCAGGCAUGUCUGAGGGUCAUAGGAAGCCUGUGUGCCUGGAGCAGAGGGUACAAGCCCAACGUGGAGCUUGUGCAUGGCUCUCCACUGCCUCCCAACUCAGUCCAGGGGCUUCUGCUCGGCUUUCAAUGCCCUCCACUGUGGGGGCCCUGCCACACCUCCCCAUUCUCUGGGGGCCCCAGGAUUUCCCACAUCCUUGUUUUUUCCCAUAUUGCAUUAGGAUUUGACUUUAUUAUUUAAACAAGAAGCAGAGGCCCCCACUCCUUAGGGCGGAAACGUUGCUCAGAAUCACAUCCUGGAGGAUGGAGUGAAAGGGAUGUUGGUCUUAGAAGCCCUAAGAGAAGACGGCACAGAGUGGCUGGACUGGGGGUGGGGGUGGAAGAGACUGAGGAAGGCCAGGUGGACAAGGCGGGGUGGGGCCCACAGUCCUCAUUGCCACAGGGCUUUGCCAUCUUGCCAAGGAGCCAACUUGCCCUGAUUCCACGGAGCAGGCCACUGGGACUUCCCACUUCUGUGGGGGCGCUGCGACUGCCUCCAAGAUCCUCCCCAAAUCUCUCUGGGCCUCAGUGAGGUGCCUGGGGAAUGGAUUUAAGAUUGGUGGCCCAGUUUCCGGACAGCUGGGAGAUGAGCUCAGCCUUACUAAUGUGAUCGAAGUUGCCAACCCCUGCCCCGCACAUCCUCAGGGGACCCUAGGCUGCUGGCCACCAGCAAGGUUGUCUUGUCUGUUUGAUCUUCGAUUCCUGAGGGUAGUGGGCACCUCGGUAGGUGAUCCUGCCCAAAUCCCGCCUCCGCUUGUCCUCUUGGCAGGGCGGCCUCCCUCCCGCAUACCACAGCCUUCCUGCAAUGCUGCGACUCGGGUUCAUUCCAGGGGAUCCUUGAGCGCUGGCGGCACAGAGGGGCCAACCUUGAACUCAGCAAAGAGGAAUGCUUGACUCCUCUCCAGCUGGAAGGCUGUACCUGGGCUAAGAACUGAUGAGCCUGCUUGAAGGAAACACUCCGUGCUUUUGUUAAAGGGGAAGGGAAAAUAAAAUCCCAAAUCAACCUUGGAUCAAUGUCUCUUCCCCAGACGGCAGCCCAAGGCCUCUGCGGCCUCUGCAUCAGUCAGCUGGGAAAGCGGCACAGCCCCUGGGACUGUGGCUGGGCCAGCCAGCCUCCACCCAGACAGAGCCCGCAGCAGGCCGUUGAUUCACCGUUCCCCAGCAAAAGCGUCAUCCUGAGUCCCAUGGAAGAGACUGGUUAAUCUCUUACUGUGUAAUUAAUCUCUUACUGUGUACCAGGCACAUGCAUACAUCCCAUAACGCAUUCAGCCUCACACCAUCUACUUUACAAAGCACAUAGCACUACUGUCUUCAUCUGGCAGUUAGCAAACCUGUGGCCCAGAGGGGUGGACCAAUUUACUCAUAGCCACAUAGCUGUCAGGAGCUGAGAUACAAGCCCAGGCGUGGUGGAUCCAAAGCCUCUUGUCCUGGCUGGGCAUAAUGGCUCACACCUGUAAUCUCAGCACUUUGAGAGCCUGAGGCAGGAGGAUUGCUUAAGGCCUGGAAUGUAAUAUCAGCCUGGGCAACAUAGCAAGACCCUGUCUUUAUAGAAAAAAUUUUAAAAAUUGGCCAGGCAUGGUGGUGUGCCUGUGGGCCUGGCUACUUGAGAGGCCGAGGCGGGAGGACUGCUGGAGUCCAGGAGUCUGAGGCUGCAGGGAGCUGUGACUGCGCCAGUGCACUCCAGCCAGGGUGAAAGAGUGAUGCCCUAUCUCAAGAAAAAAAAAAAAAGCUCUUGUCCCAAACCCUAUAUCACCAGGUCCGUAGAAGCAGGAGUGUAUUGAAUCCAUUAGGGAGGCACUUGGCUACAAGUAACAAAAACCUUGGCUCACAGUGGCUUAAAGCAUAAGGUCAUUCAUUGUUUAUUUCGGAGGACAUUGAGAAGCAGGCAUAGCCCAGGUGGGUUCACUAGUUCCUCAGUGUCAGGAUACAGGGCUGGCAUCUCUGCAAUUCUCUUAGCCUUCUCCUCAUGGUGGCACCAUGGCUGCCACAGCUGCAGACAUCACUUCAUCCCACAAUGACAUCCAAAGGCAGGAAGGAAGGUGAGGUGGGAAGGAGGCAAAAGGGACCAAACCUCUCUUCCUGUAACCUUCUCAUUUUCUAGUGAGACCUUUUUCCCAGGAGCCGCCAGCAUACUUCCCUCACGUUUCUGGCCAGAAGUGGAUCACAGGCCUUCCCCGGAUUACUCAGGCCCAGAGGGUGCAAUGUGGUCCCCACUACAUGGUAGACAGGAUUUGAACUAAACAACAGUUCGCUGGAGUGGAAAAUAAAGGAUGCUACAUUUUCUUAUUGUGAUAAAAAAUAUAUAUCAUAAAAUUUACCAUUUUAACAAUUUGUAAGUAUACAGGUUGGUAGCAUUAAGGACAGUCACAUUGUUGUGCAACCACUACCAUCCAUUUCCAGAAUUUUUUCAUCUUCCCAAACUGAAACUCUGUCUCCAUUAAACACCAACUCUCCACCUGGCUCCUGCCAGCCCCUGGCUCCCACCAUUCUACUUUCUGUAUCUGUGGAUUUGACUAUUCUAAGGUUGGACUAGUCCAACCUGUACAUAAAUUGAAUCAUACAGUAUUUGUCCCUUUGUGGCUGGCUUAUUUCACUCAGCACAGUGUCCUCAAGGCUCAUCCAUGUUGUGGCCCGUGUCAGAAUAUCCUUCCUUUUUCAAGGCU